This 451-nucleotide ribosomal RNA is filed under the name uncultured bacterium. Its description in RNAcentral is "partial 16S ribosomal RNA". It matches the Rfam family "Bacterial small subunit ribosomal RNA", at positions 29 to 523 of the family's 1533-position model. The record is from RNAcentral.
AACGAACGCUGGCGGCAGGCUUAACACAUGCAAGUCGAACGGAUGUAGCAAUACAUUAGUGGCGCACGGGUGAGUAACGCGUGGGAACGUGCCCUUAGGUACGGAAUAACUUCGGGAAACUGAAGCUAAUACUGUAUAAUGUCUUUGGACCAAAGAUUUAUCGCCUAAGGAUCGGCCCGCGUUGGAUUAGGUAGUUGGUGAGGUAAUGGCUCACCAAGCCUACGAUCCAUAGCUGGUCUGAGAGGAUGAUCAGCCACACUGGGACUGAGACACGGCGCAGACUCCUACGGGAGGCAGCAGUGAGGAAUAUUGGACAAUGGAGGAAGCUCUGAUCCAGCCAUGCCGCGUGAGUGAAGAAGGCCUUCGGGUUGUAAAGCUCUUUUACCCCUGACGAUAAUGACGGUAAGGGGAGAAAAAGCCACGGCUAACUUCGUGCCAGCCGCCGCGGUAA